GCCAGAUAUGCGCUCCUGUGUUAGUAGUAUUGGCUGUAUGCCGUUAGUUCUUUCUAGAUCUUUGUUGAAACAUAUAUAAGUUUGAUCAUUUAGUGAAAUAAAUGGAAUCUUGUACAGAUAGCUUGAGCGCUUAAUUCAGUCGCCGCAGCAAAGCACAGAC
Long non-coding RNA from Aquila chrysaetos chrysaetos, 160 nucleotides. RefSeq lists it as uncharacterized. The record is from RefSeq and is a predicted model, not a curated record. The transcript has 3 exons. NCBI's taxonomy places the organism in Eukaryota, Metazoa, Chordata, Aves, Accipitriformes, Accipitridae.